This 755-nucleotide unclassified non-coding RNA is filed under the name Hevea brasiliensis (rubber tree). The record is from RNAcentral. Lineage: Eukaryota; Viridiplantae; Streptophyta; Magnoliopsida; Malpighiales; Euphorbiaceae.
AAAUAAGAGAAGCAUACGAAAAACGAUACAAUCAAGAUAUGACACAAGCAAUAUGAAAACGUGGAAUGAUUGCCACUUAGCGACAAGUUCUAUGUAUCAAAGAGGAGACUAUUACAGGAAAUUAUGUACUUGUUUGGAGUUACAGAUCUUGUUAUCUUCCACCAGACAGUUCAACUGCAUCUUGAUUAUAGAUUGAAUCUUCGCCCCAAUCAAAUCGUCGUUGUAGUCUCUCGUAUUCUUGCCUACGUGUAACUUCGACAUGCUGCCAUUCUUCCCACCGCUCAGCAAGUCCCUCUCCUUCAAGCAUUCGUACUACCUCUGACAUUGCUGGACGGUCCUCUGGUGAUCCUUGAGUACACAGCAAUGCAACUUGAAUCAUCAUCUCUACUUCAUCCAUGUUAUAGUUCUUAUGUAGGUUGCGGUCGACAAUAGCAUCCAGCCUUUUCUCCCUUUGCAGUUUUUUAACAUGGUCAAGUAACAAGACAUCAUCUUCUUCUUCUAGGCGUGAAAAGUCUAUAGCGCGUUGACCAGUUACAAUCUCCAAAAGCAUGAUCCCAUAUCCAAAAACAUCAGUUUUUUCUGAUGAUUUCCCAGUGGACAAGUACUCAGGAGCUAUAUGGCCCAUAGUACCCCGAACCUGAGUAGUCACGUUGGUUUUCCUAACAUCAACUAACUUUGCCAAGCCAAAAUCACCAACUACAGCCUCGAAAUCUUCAUCCAGUAAAACAUUAGCUGCUUUAACAUCACGGUGAAUA